UACGUAGGGUGCAAGCGUUGUCCGGAAUUAUUGGGCGUAAAGAGCUCGUAGGCGGUUUGUCGCGUCGGCUGUGAAAACCUGGGGCUCAACCCCGGGCCUGCAGCCGAUACGGGCAAGCUAGAAUUCGGUAGGGGAGACGUGGAAUUCCUGGUGUAGCGGUGAAAUGCGCAGAUAUCAGGAGGAACACCGGUGGCGAAGGCGGGUCUCUGGGCCGAUACUGACGCUGAGGAGCGAAAGCGUGGGGAGCGAACAGG
RNAcentral lists this ribosomal RNA (254 nucleotides) under uncultured bacterium. RNAcentral describes it as "partial 16S ribosomal RNA". It matches the Rfam family "Bacterial small subunit ribosomal RNA", at positions 524 to 776 of the family's 1533-position model. The record is from RNAcentral.